UACGUAGGGUGCAAGCGUUAAUCGGAAUUACUGGGCGUAAAGCGUGCGCAGGCGGUUGUGUAAGUCUGAUGUGAAAGCCCCGGGCUCAACCUGGGAACUGCAUUGGAGACUGCACAGCUAGAGUGCGUCAGAGGGGGGUAGAAUUCCGCGUGUAGCAGUGAAAUGCGUAGAGAUGCGGAGGAAUACCGAUGGCGAAGGCAGCCCCCUGGGAUGACACUGACGCUCAUGCACGAAAGCGUGGGGAGCAAACAGGAUUAGAUACCCUGGUAGUCCACGCCCUAAACGAUGUCAACUAGCUGUUGGGGGUUUGAAUCCUUGGUAGCGUAGCUAACGCGAGAAGUUGACCGCCUGGGGAGUACGGCCGCAAGGUUAAA
RNAcentral lists this ribosomal RNA (374 nucleotides) under uncultured bacterium. Its description in RNAcentral is "bacterial SSU rRNA". It matches the Rfam family "Bacterial small subunit ribosomal RNA", at positions 524 to 898 of the family's 1533-position model. The record is from RNAcentral.